This 803-nucleotide long non-coding RNA is filed under the name Ananas comosus (pineapple). RNAcentral describes it as "long non-coding RNA (ACOM_LNC044234)". The record is from RNAcentral. Lineage: Eukaryota; Viridiplantae; Streptophyta; Magnoliopsida; Poales; Bromeliaceae.
GUGUAAAAUCGUGAAAACUUUUUAAUCCGACUCCAAUUGAUUCUAAAGUCUAUAAAUAAGCUAUUGGGGUUCUCUAACAGAUCAAGCAUCACGAAAAUACAUGUUUGAGAAAUCCUAGAGGCUCGGAUUUCAUCUAAAAUCUAUUUUCUACAUAUUAGCCUCUUUUAGGUCAAAUCGAGAUAUUGAAAUUUCAUCUAUAUGUCGAUUUGAUCUUCGCUUCGCUUGGAGUUUUCUUUCCUGGUUUUCAUCGAUACUCUAAGCGAAGGAUCACCAUACACAUGAUGUUCUUCAUGACGGCGUCGUGGAUUCGGCGUGAUUGACGGCGGUUCGUGGAUUCAGAUCGUGAGCUUCGUGGAUUCGGAGUGGAGGCGUUUCGUGGAUUCGGAACAUGGCGUUCGUGGAUUCGAACGUGAGGGCGUGGACAGCCCGGAGGGUAGCGCGAAGAUUCAUAGGAGGUUAAGAGAGGUUGAGUCCGUGGAGUCGGUAAUCACCUUGUAAUCUUUUCUCUUAGUGAAUUAUUUUUUCGCGUGUUGGUCCCGUGGGUUUUUCUCCAAGUUAGAGUUUUCCCACGUAAAUCUCGGUGUGAUUUUUAUUUUUCGCAUUUAUUUUUAUCGCAUUGAGAUUUGUGGUUUUUGGCUAUUACACCUAUUCACCCCCCUCUAGGUGUUAGAUACAAUCUAGAUAGAUCCUUGGGCUCCUCAAAACUUUCAAUUGGUAUCAGAGCGGGAUCUAGAUAUAUUGAUAUCUAAUGGCCGAAGGCGGUAACAUUAAUCGACCACCACUCUUCGAUGGCACGAAUUAUG